Molecule: ribosomal RNA, 753 nt
Filed under: uncultured Bacteroidales bacterium
Lineage: Bacteria; Pseudomonadati; Bacteroidota; Bacteroidia; Bacteroidales
Description: bacterial SSU rRNA
Rfam family: Bacterial small subunit ribosomal RNA
Source: RNAcentral
CGCUAGCUACAGGCUUAACACAUGCAAGUCGAGGGGCAGCAUGGUCUUAGCUUGCUAAGGCCGAUGGCGACCGGCGCACGGGUGAGUAACACGUAUCCAACCUGCCGUCUACUCUUGGACAGCCUUCUGAAAGGAAGAUUAAUACAAGAUGGCAUCAUGAGUCCGCAUGUUCACAUGAUUAAAGGUAUUCCGGUAGACGAUGGGGAUGCGUUCCAUUAGAUAGUAGGCGGGGUAACGGCCCACCUAGUCUUCGAUGGAUAGGGGUUCUGAGAGGAAGGUCCCCCACAUUGGAACUGAGACACGGUCCAAACUCCUACGGGAGGCAGCAGUGAGGAAUAUUGGUCAAUGGGCGAGAGCCUGAACCAGCCAAGUAGCGUGAAGGAUGACUGCCCUAUGGGUUGUAAACUUCUUUUAUAAAGGAAUAAAGUCGGGUAUGUAUACCCGUUUGCAUGUACUUUAUGAAUAAGGAUCGGCUAACUCCGUGCCAGCAGCCGCGGUAAUACGGAGGAUCCGAGCGUUAUCCGGAUUUAUUGGGUUUAAAGGGAGCGUAGAUGGAUGUUUAAGUCAGUUGUGAAAGUUUGCGGCUCAACCGUAAAAUUGCAGUUGAUACUGGAUAUCUUGAGUGCAGUUGAGGCAGGCGGAAUUCGUGGUGUAGCGGUGAAAUGCUUAGAUAUCACGAAGAACUCCGAUUGCGAAGGCAGCCUGCUAAGCUGCAACUGACAUUGAGGCUCGAAAGUGUGGGUAUCAAACAGG